RNAcentral lists this long non-coding RNA (879 nucleotides) under Marmota monax (woodchuck). The record is from RNAcentral. Lineage: Eukaryota; Metazoa; Chordata; Mammalia; Rodentia; Sciuridae.
UCAGUACCUGGGAGGUAUUGGGGGGAGGUGACCUUGGGCAUUAACCAUAUGGGCAUAAAUCCAAGGGACAGGAACAUGUUCUUUCUUCAUAUAUUCUGUGGAAGAUUGUGUCUGACAGGCUACAUACCUUAAGCACCCUGUGUACUCUGCAAGUACAGUUGGCUCUUUAUAGAGUUCUCUUCUGAAGCAGGAAAAUACUACUGGGUAACUCACUUCAUGAAACCAGGCAGGCUCUGGAUGUUGGGAAUAGAAGAUGUGGACAAAGAGUAUGAGGAGAUGUGAUGGCAUUCCUGGGAUGAGAUGAGUCAGGGAGGACCCAAAUGUAAGACUUAACACAACUGGGAAAACCCACAAAGCCCCCAGAGGGUGGAAGUAGGUGGUCAGUAGUGGGGUGGUGCUUUUAUUCUUGGUGAGGUUUGUUUGCCAAGAAUGGCUUCAGCUGGAAAGCAAGCAUGGUGACAAUUUUCAGAGUCAGUUAGAUGGUCUUGCAGGUUCCUGAGAACCUUGGACGUAAAACCAGGAAAUGGGCUAUUGGAACAGAAAUUUUCUUUUCUUUCCUAAAUUUUCUGAGAGGAAUAUUUGUUGGAGUGUGAACUGAGUGUUUUGAGAAUGAAACUUAUUCUUGUGUCCAGAAUAUUAUAGGACGGCAUAAUGACAGGAAUAAAAGGAAAGAAUGGAGGGGUUUGCAAAAAGAAGAAGGUUGACCAAAGUGAGAAUCAGAGAAAAGAGUACGUGUAGUUGAAUGAGCUUGGUAAAGCAGCUUGUAGAAGACAGUCUUUGGUCUGUUCAUUGGUGCAGGAUGGUUUAAUGCAACCUUAUUCUUCCAACCAGUCUCCUGUGUCCUCAUACAGUAAUUUGCACCUUCACUUUGGACAUGGA